This 23-nucleotide microRNA is filed under the name Caenorhabditis elegans. RNAcentral's name for it is "cel-miR-51-5p". Its record names the gene cel-miR-51-5p. RNAcentral also lists the same sequence under 2 other names. Lineage: Eukaryota; Metazoa; Nematoda; Chromadorea; Rhabditida; Rhabditidae. The record is from miRBase by way of RNAcentral.
UACCCGUAGCUCCUAUCCAUGUU